This 395-nucleotide RNase P RNA is filed under the name Pontibacter sp. FD36. RNAcentral's name for it is "RNase P RNA component class A". It matches the Rfam family "Bacterial RNase P class A". Rfam says of the family: Ribonuclease P (RNase P) is a ubiquitous endoribonuclease, found in archaea, bacteria and eukarya as well as chloroplasts and mitochondria. Its best characterised activity is the generation of mature 5'-ends of tRNAs by cleaving the 5'-leader elements of precursor-tRNAs. Cellular RNase Ps are ribonucleoproteins. Lineage: Bacteria; Pseudomonadati; Bacteroidota; Cytophagia; Cytophagales; Hymenobacteraceae. The record is from RNAcentral.
ACAGCAAGCCGUCUUAUCGCUGCUCCCGCAAGGGAGGAGAGGAAAGUCCGGGCAACAUAGAGCAUCCUACUUCCUAACGGGAAGGGGCCUUCCGAGAGACGGGAAGGCUACAGCCAGUGCCACAGAAAAUUACCGCCUCGGCUUCGGCCGCGGUAAGGGUGAAAAGGUGCGGUAAGAGCGCACCAGCGGCUGGGUGACCAGUCCGGCUGGGUAAACCUUAGGAGUUGAAAGACCAAAUAGGCUGACAGCGUCUCGCUUCGGCGGGGCUAAGGGCUGCUCGUCCGAUGUCAGUGGGUAGGUCGAUGGAGCCUGUGCGCGAGUGCAGGCCUAGAUAAAUGAUAAGACGUUGGGCUUCGGCCUGAUGACAGAACCCGGCUUAUAGGCUUGCUGUUAAA